GCCCAUCCAGCUCAUCAU
This 18-nucleotide small nuclear RNA is filed under the name Arabidopsis thaliana (thale cress). Its description in RNAcentral is "snRNA_15768". The record is from RNAcentral. Lineage: Eukaryota; Viridiplantae; Streptophyta; Magnoliopsida; Brassicales; Brassicaceae.